This 253-nucleotide ribosomal RNA is filed under the name uncultured bacterium. Its description in RNAcentral is "partial 16S ribosomal RNA". It matches the Rfam family "Bacterial small subunit ribosomal RNA", at positions 524 to 776 of the family's 1533-position model. The record is from RNAcentral.
UACAGAGGGUGCGAGCGUUAAUCGGAAUUACUGGGCUUAAAGGGUGCGUAGGCGGCGCGGUAAGUAGGGUGUGAAAUCCCUCGGCUCAACCGAGGAACUGCGCUCUAAACUACCGUGCUUGAGGGAGGUAGAGGUGAGCGGAACUUAGGGUGGAGCGGUGAAAUGCGUUGAUAUCCUAAGGAACACCGGUGGCGAAAGCGGCUCACUGGAUCUCUUCUGACGCUGAGGCACGAAAGCUAGGGUAGCGAACGGG